GCUUUGGAGACAGCUGACUUUGGUUUUUAUAUUUGUUUUAAAUUUACUAAUGACCACAGUUGAUUGACGUUUUAAUUUUUUUUUUUUUUUGUCUCCUUUUAGGGUUUUGUUUUUGCACUGAAUGUAGCCAGGACGGAUCCUUGUGGGCUUUGGCAGCCCUUGGAAACUGUCAAAGGCAGUAUUUUGCAUUUCUGCAGAGCUUUGCACAGAUCCUGUUCCCAUGCAAACUGAUGAGGGAGAAAUACUGGAGGAAGGCAGUCCCAAGAUGGAACAUGAGGAUUUUGUAAUGGAGGGGCAUGGCAAGACUCCACCUCCUGGUGAAGAAAACAAACAGUGAGUCACACGUUUAUUUAAAAAGGGCCUUACCGUAGUAAAUGGUGUGAAGCACUCUCGUUUAAGCG
Molecule: long non-coding RNA, 401 nt
Organism: Junco hyemalis (dark-eyed junco)
Lineage: Eukaryota; Metazoa; Chordata; Aves; Passeriformes; Passerellidae
Source: Ensembl